RNAcentral lists this non-coding RNA (23 nucleotides) under Arabidopsis thaliana (thale cress). The record is from RNAcentral. Lineage: Eukaryota; Viridiplantae; Streptophyta; Magnoliopsida; Brassicales; Brassicaceae.
AAUCUCGUUAAGCUGUUUCUCUG